AAGCCCAGGGGAAGAGCGUGUUGACCAGACUCCCAGCAAGAGGAGGAGUUAGUGUCCUGCUGCUGCUGGGACAAAAGGAUGGUUGUGGAGCAGGCUGCCCGGGGCUCCAGCCCACCUGACCUCCGCCUGCAGUAUCUCCAUCAGAUCCACGCCAACCAUGAGACGCUGCUGCGGGAGGUGCAGACCCUGCGUGACCGGCUGUGCACGGAGGACGAGGCCAGCUCCUGUGCCACUGCCCAGCGUCUCCUGCAGGUGUACCGACAGCUCCGCAGCCCCAGCCUCCUCCUGCUGUGACACCAGCCACCACGGCCUCCGCACUCAGCCUCAACACUGCCGGGCACCCCCUACCCAGAACACUGGGGCUGGAUCAGCGAUGUCCCUGCAUUCUGACUCCGGGUCCAGACCCCUGAGCAGGAGCACUCUUGCCCGUGCGGCUUGUGCGGCCAGGGAGAGGGGCUUCUGGUUUGAGACUCGGGCGCAUCUGGGUCAGUGGUGUCACAUUCCCACCGCCACGCCCAGAGCCCAGGGCUGCCCCUCUUGGUGGCACCACAGCCCACCCACAGACCUCUUGUCCAGCACCUGCCUACCGCCUGACUGGGCGCCUCAGCCCUGCUUCUCUGCGGCUGCUGGGGUCACCGGGUGGGAGGUGCUCCCUGUGACCAAAGCACAAAGAUGGGGUGGGGGUGUUCCCUGCAGUUACCCUAAGACCAAAACACUCAACAACUGGUGCCUCCAGCUGGGGCCACACCCAGCAUCCAGCACUGUGCACUGUUUCCAAGGGUCCCUCAGGGCGGGCAGCCACCCCCCUUGGCCCCGGUGCUUUUGGGGAGGGUGACUCCCUGGACUUGACACGGUGCUCUCCUGUGUGUGCAGGGCCUGCGAGGCACCCUGCCUCAAAAAGUGACCCUUUCUGUUGCAAUGCCGUGGCCUUGGCUGCUUUUUACCCUCCCCACCUCGGUCAGAUGGCAGUUUCCACCUGGAUUGCUGGUGCCCCCUGCCCCUAGCUCUGCACCCCUGCCAAGUCUGGUGGCCUCUGCACCGCCCAUCCUCUGCACGGAGGCUCUGCUCUCCAUCCCAGGGGCCAGGGCAGCCUACUGCCACACCAACCCCACUCCUGGAGCCCCCCGAGUACUCUUCCCUGCCUCUCUCUCCAGCUGCUGCCCCGGGCUCUGGGGGCUCUGCUGAGUGUCUGAGGCCAAGUGCACUGGCGAAGCUCAGCAAACAGAAACCCCUCUUCAGUGCCCCAUGGAGUCGGGGAGCCCUGAGAGCACCUGAGC
This is a long non-coding RNA of Camelus dromedarius (Arabian camel), 1277 nucleotides long. The record is from Ensembl. NCBI's taxonomy places the organism in Eukaryota, Metazoa, Chordata, Mammalia, Artiodactyla, Camelidae.